GCUGGCGUAGCUCAGUUGGUAGAGCAGCUGAUUUGUAAUCAGCGGGUCGGCGGUUCAAAUCCGUUCGCCAGCU
Molecule: transfer RNA, 73 nt
Filed under: Gammaproteobacteria bacterium RIFCSPHIGHO2_02_FULL_42_43
Lineage: Bacteria; Pseudomonadati; Pseudomonadota; Gammaproteobacteria
Also listed under: 3 other names
Description: tRNA-Thr
Rfam family: tRNA
About the family: Transfer RNA (tRNA) molecules are approximately 80 nucleotides in length. Their secondary structure includes four short double-helical elements and three loops (D, anti-codon, and T loops).
Source: RNAcentral